AAAGAAUUAGUUAACAUAUAACAUUAGAAUGUCAAACUAAAAUUAUUAAUAAACUUAAUAUUCUUUA
Molecule: transfer RNA, 67 nt
Filed under: Nebria ingens riversi
Lineage: Eukaryota; Metazoa; Arthropoda; Insecta; Coleoptera; Carabidae
Description: tRNA-Asp
Source: RNAcentral